AGGUGCUUGCACCUUUCAAGUGAGUGGCGAACGUAGUGAGUAACACGUGGACAACCUGCCUCAAGGCUGGGGAUAACAUUUGGAAACAGAUGCUAAUACCGAAUAAAACUUAGUGUCGCAUGACAAAAAGUUAAAAGGCGCUUCGGCGUCACCUAGAGAUGGAUCCGCGGUGCAUUAGUUAGUUGGUGGGGUAAAGGCCUACCAAGACAAUGAUGCAUAGCCGAGUUGAGAGACUGAUCGGCCACAUUGGGACUGAGACACGGCCCAAACUCCUACGGGAGGCUGCAGUAGGGAAUCUUCCACAAUGGGCGAAAGCCUGAUGGAGCAACGCCGCGUGUGUGAUGAAGGCUUUCGGGUCGUAAAGCACUGUUGUAUGGGAAGAACAGCUAGAAUAGGAAAUGAUUUUAGUUUGACGGUACCAUACCAGAAAGGGACGGCUAAAUACGUGCCAGCAGCCGCGGUAAUACGUAUGUCCCGAGCGUUAUCCGGAUUUAUUGGGCGUAAAGCGAGCGCAGACGGUUUAUUAAGUCUGAUGUGAAAGCCCGGAGCUCAACUCCGGAAUGGCAUUGGAAACUGGUUAACUUGAGUGCAGUAGAGGUAAGUGGAACUCCAUGUGUAGCGGUGGAAUGCGUAGAUAUAUGGAAGAACACCAGUGGCGAAGGCGGCUUACUGGACUGCAACUGACGUUGAGGCUCGAAAGUGUGGGUAGCAAACAGGAUUAGAUACCCUGGUAGUCCACACCGUAAACGAUGAACACUAGGUGUUAGGAGGUUUCCGCCUCUUAGUGCCGAAGCUAACGCAUUAAGUGUUCCGCCUGGGGAGUACGACCGCAAGGUUGAAACUCAAAGGAAUUGA
This 855-nucleotide ribosomal RNA is filed under the name Leuconostoc mesenteroides. RNAcentral describes it as "bacterial SSU rRNA". It matches the Rfam family "Bacterial small subunit ribosomal RNA", at positions 74 to 913 of the family's 1533-position model. Lineage: Bacteria; Bacillati; Bacillota; Bacilli; Lactobacillales; Lactobacillaceae. The record is from RNAcentral.